This 524-nucleotide ribosomal RNA is filed under the name uncultured Hyphomicrobiales bacterium. RNAcentral's name for it is "bacterial SSU rRNA". It matches the Rfam family "Bacterial small subunit ribosomal RNA", at positions 9 to 577 of the family's 1533-position model. The record is from RNAcentral. Lineage: Bacteria; Pseudomonadati; Pseudomonadota; Alphaproteobacteria; Hyphomicrobiales.
GAGUUUGAUCAUGGCUCAGAACGAACGCUGGCGGCAGGCUUAACACAUGCAAGUCGAGCGCACAGUUUACUGUGAGCGGCAGACGGGUGAGUAACGCGUGGGAAUCUACCUUGAGCUACGGGAUAACAGAGAGAAAUUUCUGCUAAUACCGUAUGUGGCCUUUGGGCGAAAGAUUUAUCGGCUUAAGAUGAGCCCGCGUUGGAUUAGCUGGUUGGUGGGGUAAAGGCCUACCAAGGCGACGAUCCAUAGCUGGUCUGAGAGGAUGAUCAGCCACACUGGGACUGAGACACGGCCCAGACUCCUACGGGAGGCAGCAGUGGGGAAUAUUGGACAAUGGGCGCAAGCCUGAUCCAGCCAUGCCGCGUGAGUGAAGAAGGCCUUAGGGUUGUAAAGCUCUUUCACCGGUGAAGAUAAUGACGGUAGCCGGAGAAGAAGCCCCGGCUAACUUCGUGCCAGCAGCCGCGGUAAUACGAAGGGGGCUAGCGUUUGUUCGGAUUUACUGGGGCGUAAAGCGCGCGUAGGCG